This 625-nucleotide ribosomal RNA is filed under the name Acinetobacter sp. Ri1Pw_5594. RNAcentral describes it as "bacterial SSU rRNA". It matches the Rfam family "Bacterial small subunit ribosomal RNA", at positions 391 to 1007 of the family's 1533-position model. The record is from RNAcentral. Lineage: Bacteria; Pseudomonadati; Pseudomonadota; Gammaproteobacteria; Moraxellales; Moraxellaceae.
GCCAUGCCGCGUGUGUGAAGAAGGCCUUUUGGUUGUAAAGCACUUUAAGCGAGGAGGAGGCUACUCUAGUUAAUACCUAGGGAUAGUGGACGUUACUCGCAGAAUAAGCACCGGCUAACUCUGUGCCAGCAGCCGCGGUAAUACAGAGGGUGCGAGCGUUAAUCGGAUUUACUGGGCGUAAAGCGUACGUAGGCGGCUUUUUAAGUCGGAUGUGAAAUCCCUGAGCUUAACUUAGGAAUUGCAUUCGAUACUGGGAAGCUAGAGUAUGGGAGAGGAUGGUAGAAUUCCAGGUGUAGCGGUGAAAUGCGUAGAGAUCUGGAGGAAUACCGAUGGCGAAGGCAGCCAUCUGGCCUAAUACUGACGCUGAGGUACGAAAGCAUGGGGAGCAAACAGGAUUAGAUACCCUGGUAGUCCAUGCCGUAAACGAUGUCUACUAGCCGUUGGGGCCUUUGAGGCUUUAGUGGCGCAGCUAACGCGAUAAGUAGACCGCCUGGGGAGUACGGUCGCAAGACUAAAACUCAAAUGAAUUGACGGGGGCCCGCACAAGCGGUGGAGCAUGUGGUUUAAUUCGAUGCAACGCGAAGAACCUUACCUGGUCUUGACAUAGUAAGAACUUUCCAGAGAU